AUACGGAGGAUCCGAGCGUUAUCCGGAUUUAUUGGGUUUAAAGGGUGCGCAGGCGGGAGAUUAAGUCGGCGGUGAAAUUUUGCAGCUCAACUGUAAAAGUGCCUUCGAAACUGGGUUCCUUGAGUGUAGAUGAAGUAGGCGGAAUUUGUGGGGUAGCGGUGAAAUGCAUAGAUAUCCCGAGGAACUCCGAUUGCGCAGGCAGCUUACUAAACUACUACUGACGCUCAGGCACGAAGGCGUGGGGAUCAAACAGGAUUAGAUACCCUGGUAGUCCACGCAGUAAACGAUGAUUACUAGCUGUUUGCGAUACAAUGUAAGCGGCUGAGCGAAAGCGUUAAGUAAUCCACCUGGGGAGUACGUUCGCAAGAAUGAAACUCAAAUGAAUUGGCGGGG
RNAcentral lists this ribosomal RNA (393 nucleotides) under uncultured bacterium. RNAcentral describes it as "partial 16S ribosomal RNA". It matches the Rfam family "Bacterial small subunit ribosomal RNA", at positions 523 to 918 of the family's 1533-position model. The record is from RNAcentral.